RNAcentral lists this ribosomal RNA (694 nucleotides) under uncultured bacterium. RNAcentral describes it as "bacterial SSU rRNA". It matches the Rfam family "Bacterial small subunit ribosomal RNA", at positions 32 to 715 of the family's 1533-position model. The record is from RNAcentral.
AACGCUAGCUACAGGCUUAACACAUGCAAGUCGAGGGGCAGCAUGGUCUUAGCUUGCUAAGGCCGAUGGCGACCGGCGCACGGGUGAGUAACACGUAUCCAACCUGCCGUCUACUCUUGGACAGCCUUCUGAAAGGAAGAUUAAUACAAGAUGGCAUCAUGAGUCCGCAUGUUCACAUGAUUAAAGGUAUUCUGGUAGACGAUGGGGAUGCGUUCCAUUAGAUAGUAGGCGGGGUAACGGCCCACCUAGUCUUCGAUGGAUAGGGGUUCUGAGAGGAAGGUCCCCCACAUUGGAACUGAGACACGGUCCAAACUCCUACGGGAGGCAGCAGUGAGGAAUAUUGGUCAAUGGGCGCAGGCCUGAACCAGCCAAGUAGCGUGAAGGAUGACUGCCCUAUGGGUUGUAAACUUCUUUUAUAAAGGAAUAAAGUCGGGUAUGCAUACCCGUUUGCAUGUACUUUAUGAAUAAGGAUCGGCUAACUCCGUGCCAGCAGCCGCGGUAAUACGGAGGAUCCGAGCGUUAUCCGGAUUUAUUGGGUUUAAAGGGAGCGUAGAUGGAUGUUUAAGUCAGUUGUGAAAGUUUGCGGCUCAACCGUAAAAUUGCAGUUGAUACUGGAUAUCUUGAGUGCAGUUGAGGCAGGCGGAAUUCGUGGUGUAGCGGUGAAAUGCUUAGAUAUCACGAAGAACUCCGAUUG